RNAcentral lists this small RNA (28 nucleotides) under Bombyx mori (domestic silkworm). RNAcentral describes it as "ovarian small RNA-25345". Lineage: Eukaryota; Metazoa; Arthropoda; Insecta; Lepidoptera; Bombycidae. The record is from RNAcentral.
UCACUAAAAACUCUUGCAGCUCACAACC